RNAcentral lists this ribosomal RNA (111 nucleotides) under Bos taurus (domestic cattle). RNAcentral's name for it is "partial large subunit ribosomal RNA". Lineage: Eukaryota; Metazoa; Chordata; Mammalia; Artiodactyla; Bovidae. The record is from RNAcentral.
CUAAACCUAGCCCAAAGAUACCCUCUCGACUAAACAACCAAGAUAGAAUAAAACAAAACAUUUAAUCCCAAUUUAAAGUAUAGGAGAUAGAAAUCUAAGUACGGCGCUAUA